UGUGACCUACGGGACGCAGCAGUGAGGAAUAUUGGUCAAUGGGCUAAGGCCUGAACCAGCCAAGUCGCGUGAGGGAAGACGGUCCUAUGGAUUGUAAACCUCUUUUGUCGGGGAGCAACGAGGCCACGUGUGGCCGAAGUGAGAGUACCCGAAGAAAAAGCAUCGGCUAACUCCGUGCCAGCAGCCGCGGUAAUACGGAGGAUGCGAGCGUUAUCCGGAUUAAUUGGGUUUAAAGGGUGCGUAGGCGGCACAUUAAGUCAGCGGUAAAAUCGAGGGGCUCAACCCCUUUAAGCGGUUGAAACUGG
This 305-nucleotide ribosomal RNA is filed under the name uncultured bacterium. RNAcentral's name for it is "bacterial SSU rRNA". It matches the Rfam family "Bacterial small subunit ribosomal RNA", at positions 333 to 636 of the family's 1533-position model. The record is from RNAcentral.